AUUGAACGCUGGCGGCAGGCCUAACACAUGCAAGUCGAACGAGUGGCGGACGGGUGAGUAAUGUCUGGGAAACUGCCUGAUGGAGGGGGAUAACUACUGGAAACGGUAGCUAAUACCGCAUACCCUCAGAUGUGCCCAGAUGGGAUUAGCUUGUUGGUGGGGUAACGGCUCACCAAGGCGACGAUCCCUAGCUGGUCUGAGAGGAUGACCAGCCACACUGGAACUGAGACACGGUCCAGACUCCUACGGGAGGCAGCAGUGGGGAAUAUUGGACAAUGGGGGCAAGCCGGAUGCAGCCAUGCCGCGUGUAUGAAGAAGGCCUUCGGGUUGUAAAGUACUUUCGGCAGGGAGGCGUUACCCGCAGAAGAAGCACCGGCUAACUCCGUGCCAGCCGCCGCGGUAAUAC
Molecule: ribosomal RNA, 406 nt
Filed under: uncultured bacterium
Lineage: Bacteria
Description: partial 16S ribosomal RNA
Rfam family: Bacterial small subunit ribosomal RNA
Source: RNAcentral